AUUAACAUGAGAUAUUGGUGCGGUUCAAUAAAAAAUCAGCUUUUUCCUCUUAAAGUUAUGUGAUUUGAUUGAGCCGUGCCAAUAUCACAUAUCAAAUA
RNAcentral lists this microRNA precursor (98 nucleotides) under Rosa chinensis. Lineage: Eukaryota; Viridiplantae; Streptophyta; Magnoliopsida; Rosales; Rosaceae. The record is from RNAcentral.